AACUUAAAUGUACACCACGAUAGAGACAGAGAGAGGCGAUGAGUACACGGAGACAGAAGAAAAGAAAGAGAGAGGCGAUGAAAUCAAAAGCCUAGGCAGAACGGUAAAAGGCACGGAGUGGGGAUUGGGGAGAGAGUAAAUCUGCCACCAUCAUCCGUUUUUCUUCACGCUGCCACUCUCUAAUACGCAAACCCAAAUCGUGAGAUAGAGUUCGUAAGAGGGAUAAUCGUUUCGGUACAAAUCAAAAGAAAAAAGACUGGGAUAGAGAGAGGGAGUUCACUAAGCCGUAUGCCCGCAAAAGUCCGAUCUUCCACCACCAUCAAACUCCUGUAACUCCACUGAUGAUGGUAACUUGGUAAAGAAGUGGACUACUAAAGAAAAUCUCUACCCAAUCCACAAGCUUGAUCAUUCUAAAUUGCAGAACCUAUUCACAAUUAUGGGGUGCUAAUGCUGGAUGGCACAAUGGCAAAACAAUAAGCCACAUGGAGCAAACGGACGGAAGUUUAUAUACUUGAGGGUGGCCGAUGCAAUAAUAGAUUUGCCAUGAAAUGUUCAUAAAAGAAAUGUUCAACCUGUGUUGAUGCAAAGGAUAACUUCCACUCUUUUAAGUUUAUGAAAUUUUAUAUGUAUUACUUUUG
This is a long non-coding RNA of Quercus lobata, 638 nucleotides long. RefSeq lists it as uncharacterized. The transcript is spliced from 3 exons. NCBI's taxonomy places the organism in Eukaryota, Viridiplantae, Streptophyta, Magnoliopsida, Fagales, Fagaceae. The record is from RefSeq and is a predicted model, not a curated record.